RNAcentral lists this ribosomal RNA (1464 nucleotides) under Enterococcus durans. Its description in RNAcentral is "bacterial SSU rRNA". It matches the Rfam family "Bacterial small subunit ribosomal RNA". The record is from RNAcentral. Lineage: Bacteria; Bacillati; Bacillota; Bacilli; Lactobacillales; Enterococcaceae.
CUGGCGGCGUGCCUAAUACAUGCAAGUCGUACGCUUCUUUUUCCACCGGAGCUUGCUCCACCGGAAAAAGAAGAGUGGCGAACGGGUGAGUAACACGUGGGUAACCUGCCCAUCAGAAGGGGAUAACACUUGGAAACAGGUGCUAAUACCGUAUAACAAUCGAAACCGCAUGGUUUUGAUUUGAAAGGCGCUUUCGGGUGUCGCUGAUGGAUGGACCCGCGGUGCAUUAGCUAGUUGGUGAGGUAACGGCUCACCAAGGCUACGAUGCAUAGCCGACCUGAGAGGGUGAUCGGCCACAUUGGGACUGAGACACGGCCCAAACUCCUACGGGAGGCAGCAGUAGGGAAUCUUCGGCAAUGGACGAAAGUCUGACCGAGCAACGCCGCGUGAGUGAAGAAGGUUUUCGGAUCGUAAAACUCUGUUGUUAGAGAAGAACAAGGAUGAGAGUAACUGUUCAUCCCUUGACGGUAUCUAACCAGAAAGCCACGGCUAACUACGUGCCAGCAGCCGCGGUAAUACGUAGGUGGCAAGCGUUGUCCGGAUUUAUUGGGCGUAAAGCGAGCGCAGGCGGUUUCUUAAGUCUGAUGUGAAAGCCCCCGGCUCAACCGGGGAGGGUCAUUGGAAACUGGGAGACUUGAGUGCAGAAGAGGAGAGUGGAAUUCCAUGUGUAGCGGUGAAAUGCGUAGAUAUAUGGAGGAACACCAGUGGCGAAGGCGGCUCUCUGGUCUGUAACUGACGCUGAGGCUCGAAAGCGUGGGGAGCAAACAGGAUUAGAUACCCUGGUAGUCCACGCCGUAAACGAUGAGUGCUAAGUGUUGGAGGGUUUCCGCCCUUCAGUGCUGCAGCUAACGCAUUAAGCACUCCGCCUGGGGAGUACGACCGCAAGGUUGAAACUCAAAGGAAUUGACGGGGGCCCGCACAAGCGGUGGAGCAUGUGGUUUAAUUCGAAGCAACGCGAAGAACCUUACCAGGUCUUGACAUCCUUUGACCACUCUAGAGAUAGAGCUUCCCCUUCGGGGGCAAAGUGACAGGUGGUGCAUGGUUGUCGUCAGCUCGUGUCGUGAGAUGUUGGGUUAAGUCCCGCAACGAGCGCAACCCUUAUUGUUAGUUGCCAUCAUUCAGUUGGGCACUCUAGCAAGACUGCCGGUGACAAACCGGAGGAAGGUGGGGAUGACGUCAAAUCAUCAUGCCCCUUAUGACCUGGGCUACACACGUGCUACAAUGGGAAGUACAACGAGUCGCGAAGUCGCGAGGCUAAGCUAAUCUCUUAAAGCUUCUCUCAGUUCGGAUUGUAGGCUGCAACUCGCCUACAUGAAGCCGGAAUCGCUAGUAAUCGCGGAUCAGCACGCCGCGGUGAAUACGUUCCCGGGCCUUGUACACACCGCCCGUCACACCACGAGAGUUUGUAACACCCGAAGUCGGUGAGGUAACCUUUUGGAGCCAGCCGCCUAAGGUGGGAUAGAU